This is a non-coding RNA of Anolis sagrei ordinatus, 928 nucleotides long. The record is from RefSeq and is a predicted model, not a curated record. NCBI's taxonomy places the organism in Eukaryota, Metazoa, Chordata, Lepidosauria, Squamata, Anolidae.
CUCAAGGUGUUCCUGGGCGAACAAGGCCAGUGGUUUGGAGAGAAUAAUAAUGAUGAUGGUGACAAAGUCUCAAUUGUCCACGAUUUGGAUAGUUCCGUGACCGGAUGGAUGGACAACGUUGUGUGCAGGGCAGGCAGCUAUCUGAUUCAUCACCCAAACUGCCUCAUUGUUCCAAGGUGGAAAGGAAUGCUAUGCGCUGAGAGAGAUGCACAGGUCUAUAUUCAAUCCUGGCGUCCUGGGAAUGUGACCUUAUCCAUUGCCAGUGCUGCAUACCAUUCCCAUUCUCUGAGGCUGCAGGGAAUCAACAAGGAGGGAUCCUGUUAACAAUACCAGCUUAUGACGAUGCUGGAAAAAGCCUGCUUUAUCCAAUGGGAUGGCUGAGCAUCGGAGAAGGUCGUGUUUUAUCCAACCAGUUUCAACAGGGGAAACUGGAUACAUUACAUACAUAUACCCAAAAUUUACCCUGUUGCAGGAGACAUUUAUUAUCAACAGUCAAGCGUAAAGCACUGCAUGGCAGCAUCUUCCCACAAACGAAUAUGGAAUGGGACUGAUGAUCAGCCACUCUUUUAUUUUUGGACGGUGUAUCAAGGCAAUAUUACCAUACUUAUUAUGAUGCUUUGGGUAUAAAGGAAAUCCCAAACCCUCUUGGAUUGCAAUCCAUAGCCAAGCUGCUCAUCAGACAUCUGCUUCUCUCCAAUAAUAUGUGCGUCUGAGACUGAGGGAAUAUAUGGAUGCUCAGCUGAUACGACAACAUUUAAAGACUGUGUUGGACUAAGGAAGGAUGUUAGUCUCAUACCCUGGAUAUGGGCAUAAUGGGACCUUCUGUGUCCAUUGCCUUAUCUGCAGAGAGGGAGCCUAUCUCCGACAUUCUUCUUGUUAUCAGGAAACAGCGUUUGUACAGUAGCUUAUUUUUACAAUGAAUAAAAAA